RNAcentral lists this ribosomal RNA (183 nucleotides) under Penicillium sp. RNAcentral describes it as "partial small subunit ribosomal RNA". The record is from RNAcentral. Lineage: Eukaryota; Fungi; Ascomycota; Eurotiomycetes; Eurotiales; Aspergillaceae.
UGUCGUUUUCCAGUGCUUCAUUGUCCUAGCGAGCGAUACCUCCGCCCUUAAAUCGCCCGGUCCGCAUUUGCGGGCCGCUGGCUUUUUAAGGGGACUAUCGGGUCAACCCGAUGGAAGUGCGAGGCAAUAACAGGCUCUGUGAUGCUAAUUGAUACCUACUCUGGGGGUGCUGGUGCGUCUUUU